This 2148-nucleotide long non-coding RNA is filed under the name Apis florea (little honeybee). RNAcentral's name for it is "uncharacterized LOC100866884". Lineage: Eukaryota; Metazoa; Arthropoda; Insecta; Hymenoptera; Apidae. The record is from RNAcentral.
AUCAUAUAUUAUGCAAUGUUAUAAAAAAAGAAGAAUGUCACUUCCGUGAUAUUAUUUCCCGAAACGAAAAUGGUUUCGUGAUUUUUCUGCGCGUUUGUGAAACGAAUCCUUCGAUCGAGCAGCGUGGCGAGUGAUUUAAUUGUUAGAUGUGUUGAAAUUGAAACCGUGUCGUGACAUCCAUCUAAAACGAUUAACCACGAGAACGUUUGUAUUUUCCAGAGCAGUUAUCGAACCACAUCCAAAAUUACGGAUGGUGUCGCGCGAUGGCUAAUCGUAAAACGGCUCAUCCUCGAGUUCUCCGCAAGGAGAUGAGACACCUAUGUCCAAAAUGUGGGCGUACGUUCACCUGGCGGUACAAUCUGCAACAUCAUUUGAAGUACGCUUGUGGACAAUUGCCCCGAUUCAACUGUCCCUAUUGCGCUUACAGGACUAAACACACGUCGAACGUUAGGGCCCAUGUGCGUAGAAAGCAUCCGGAUAGAGAAGUCUACGUUGUCGAUCUGAUGAGUGUUCAGCAUUGAGCGAAGCAUACGAUUAAAGUGCUAUAUGUAGAUGAAAAAUUGCGUGAUAAAUUGCGCUUCGAUCACCGAAUUUUAAUAAAAAUCAUCCUUAUCCGACGAACACUCACUCGUUCUUUGAAAAAUCCUUGCGUGCAUGUCGUUUCCUUCGUACGUAUAUCAUAUGUUUUUUCUUUAUAUCGUGAUAUUAUUGUAUAUUUAUAUAUUGUAUAUUUUAUAUAUUGUAAGAUAUAUUGGACCUCGAUUUGGGAUUAUAGUAAUAUUUUUAUGUUGCUCGGAAUUUAAAAACUCUAAGAAUUCUCAAAGUUUCGAAAACUUUCCAGAUUCUGAGACUCGAAUAUAAACGUUAAUCCGACUUCGGCUCGAUUCGGUAAUAAUCGGACGUGAUCGGGUUCCGUAGCUCCGAGAUCACUUCCGAUUAUUGCCGAGUUGAGCCGAAGUUCGAAGUUGUUAAUACUUUUAAUUCGAGCCUAAAAAUCUUAAAAGUUUGAAGACGAAACAUGAUACGAAGUUUCGAGAAUUUCUUGAAAAUUUUGGGGCCGAGCAAUAUGUGAACGAGAUAUUUGUGAUUUUUUUUCAGAGACAAACUACUUAAUACCGCAUCAGAAGGAAAAGGAAGUUCGUUGGUCGUCGAUCAGAGGAAGCACGUUCUCGCGAACGGACGAACAACAUGUGCAAAAGUUUCCUUGCGGGAAUUGUCACAGCGUGUUCAGCAGAAGACACAAUCUUCAAUAUCAUUUGAAAUUCGAGUGUGGACAGUCGCCACGAUUUAAUUGUCCUUAUUGCGUGUACAGAACGAAACAUCCUUCUAAUGUGCGUGCCCACGUGCGCAGAAUUCAUCCUGGCAACGAGGUCUACGUUAUAGAUAUAAACAAGAUUUCAAACUGUGAUUUUUCAUAGUGUUCGUUAUCCAGUAUCGCGUCAUCCGUGUUAUCUCGAUGGUCACCAAUACAUGCAGAAUCACGAGCGAAGCAAAAAGUAUUCUUGCCACAAAUGUGGCAACGUUUUCACGCGAAAGAAUAAUUUGUACAAGCAUCUGAAAUUUCAGUGUGGCCAGAUGCCGAGAUUCUGUUGCCCUUAUUGUUCAUAUUGCACGAGACAUUCGUCGAAUGUUAGAUCUCACAUACGUAGAAUGCAUCAUAACCAAAGAGUGUACGUCGUGGAUAUUAUCAACAAUCAAUCCAAGAACGACGUAAUGCAAUAAUUGCAUUCUAAUAAUGCAAACAAAAAGCGAAAGACGACAAGAGGAUUAUUAUACACACAAAUAAUUGUUUUAUUUUAUUUUUUUUUUUUUUAAUUUGCGUUAAAAUCGAAUAAUAUAUUCUAUACGAUAGAGAUAAAUCUACUGUAUUAAAAUUGUACAUGUAACAUAUUAGGCGAACAAAGUUUUGUCGAAUAUCACUUUGUACAGCAUUUUUAUUUCGUAAUGUGACACAUUUUAUCAUACAACCGUUAAUAUUUCUAAAUACGUUUCUUAAAAUUUUUGCGAUAAUAUUUGCUAGAUUGCGAGUAUUACGAUUAUAAUUACGCGUUUUUAGCUCUUUUUUUCAUCGAUGACACCACAUUCGAUAAUUAUCUAACUUUGCGUAACCCGUAAGAAGUUGGAUUCUCGAUAAGAGCAGAACUUUUG